RNAcentral lists this ribosomal RNA (497 nucleotides) under uncultured bacterium. Its description in RNAcentral is "partial 16S ribosomal RNA". It matches the Rfam family "Bacterial small subunit ribosomal RNA", at positions 28 to 507 of the family's 1533-position model. The record is from RNAcentral.
GAUGAACGCUGGCGGCGUGCCUAAUACAUGCAAGUCGAGCGAACAGACGAGGAGCUUGCUCCUCUGACGUUAGCGGCGGACGUGUGAGUAACACGUGGAUAACCUACCUAUAAGACUGGGAUAACUUCGGGAAACCGGAGCUAAUACCGGAUAAUAUAUUGAACCGCAUGGUUCAAUAGUGAAAGACGGUUUUGCUGUCACUUAUAGAUGGAUCCGCGCCGCAUUAGCUAGUUGGUAAGGUAACGGCUUACCAAGGCAAAGAUGCUGAGCCGACGUGAGAGGGUGAUCGGCCACACUGGAACUGAGACACGGUCCAGACUCCUACGGGAGGGAGCAGUAGGGAAUCUUCCGCAAUGGGCGAAAGCCUGACGGAGCAACGCCGCGUGAGUGAUGAAGGUCUUCGGAUCGUAAAACGCUGUUAUUAGGGAAGAACAAAUGUGUAAGUAACGAUGCACGUCUUGACGGUACCUAAUCAGAAAGCCACGGCUAACUACGUG